GUUCCUCUCCCCCACGGUUUCCAUCCCCAAUCCACACUGUGGGAUGGUAAGGUGCUGCCUUCUGGCCUAAGCGUUCCUGCAGCACAGGACGAAAUCAGCACAAAGACGCGGAUGACAAAACACGAAGUACUUGAACUGAGAUUUCAUGUGGAAAUCACCGAUUGCCGGGCUGCAGUUUGUUGUGUCCACGCGGCUUUUUCUCUGCCACCACCCGUGCCACAAGCUCUCACCCAAAUCUGCAUGAAAGCGUUAACGCAGCCAUUGAAAUACAUGAGUUACUAGCUACAUCCCCGGGGAUGUAGUUCCUGGUGUCCACAGAUCAAGGUUUCCCACUAAAUGAUACAAGCAAUCCUACAAAUGGUGAUGAUGGAAGAAGAGAGUACAAAUCAGAUGGGGACGUUGCCAACCUAAUCCAAGCUUAUAGUCUUUAGGUGCAACGUUCCUUGACAGAAAUUGUGUUUAGCCACAUUUCUCUAAAAACAACUGCCUUUUCCAAUGUUGCCUGCAUAUCUUUGUAGCUGGUGUAGCAUCAAAGUUUACUUCCAACCUUUCCAGUUCAUUCUCCUGCUCUUUGAAGUCUCCUAGUAUCCAUCUCUUACACCUGCACUCCAACAUUUCGGCAUCUUCACUGCCUGGCUUUCUUAUUACACGAACUUCAGAAGUGCUAACCAGCAUUAGAAUUCCCUAGGAGGGGGCUGCUCUGGAGAAAUGCUGAGAGCCAUAGCAGUAAAACAAAAAUAACAACAAACCCCAACAGCAUAUAUAGACAUUCAGCACUAUUCAGAAUCAGAUGCUAGACUACAAACUGUGGCAAGCAUUGCAGCCGCCUGCGCAGUCUAAAGCAACUCUGCAAAAAAAAAACUGUCUGUAAUGCAAUAAAAUUGUUAUUCUUAUUAGCUGAUGUAAUAGCUUAGGGAUCUCUGCCAAGAACUAUGGAUGUUAAAUGUGGUCCUUUGAUAAAUACCUUUGUAUGUGCUUGGUAUUAACGAAAGCAUUACCAUCUGUUUACCUUGCACUAAUACACAUCACAUUUUUGCACAAAUCCCAGCUUGUGUUGCAUAAGGCACUGUAUCCAUCAGAAUGGGUGACAAAAGUUUAAAUCAAGCAGGCCGUGUUUCAGCACGUUAUUCAUAAAACUAGGUCAUGGGAUAAAUGUACUGUUGGAACAUAGCUUUAUACUAAUUUUCCCAGUAAGAUGCAUCAUAAAUAUUAACUGUCCUGAACACAUAUACACAAGCUCACGGCCUUGGCUCCAGGCCCUUCACAUGGAAGCUGGAGAACAAGCUCUGACUUAAGGUAGUGAGAAUGUGAGGAACUCUGAAUUAUCAUCAAUAAUAGAUUCUUUGCUGCCUCAAGCUCUUUCAGCCA
Molecule: long non-coding RNA, 1368 nt
Organism: Tympanuchus pallidicinctus (lesser prairie-chicken)
Lineage: Eukaryota; Metazoa; Chordata; Aves; Galliformes; Phasianidae
Exons: 3
Source: RefSeq, a predicted model, not a curated record